AACUCUCAACCACACAAGUUGUGUUGAACGACUUGGGUGGCUUGGAUUUGGGAUUUAUUUGCUGGCUUUUCAAGUCGGCUGUCCUGAAAUAGAUUAGCAAGGCUUCAGUUGCCAAUACUAUUGGUGUGAUAUGCAUCUACGCCAUUGGAAAGGCUUCACAGCUUAGCUUCUUAACCGUCUUUUGACAACAUUGACA
Molecule: unclassified non-coding RNA, 196 nt
Filed under: uncultured Clitopilus
Lineage: Eukaryota; Fungi; Basidiomycota; Agaricomycetes; Agaricales; Entolomataceae
Description: sequence contains ITS2
Source: RNAcentral